UACGUAGGUGGCAAGCGUUGUCCGGAUUUACUGGGCGUAAAGGAUGCGUAGGCGGACAUUUAAGUCAGAUGUGAAAUACCCCGAGCUUAACUUGGGUGCUGCAUUUGAAACUGGGUGUCUAGAGUGCAGGAGAGGUAAGUGGAAUUCCUAGUGUAGCGGUGAAAUGCGUAGAGAUUAGGAAGAACACCAGUGGCAAGGCGACUUACUGGACAGUUACCGACGCUGAGGCACGAAAGCUAGGGGAGCAAACAGG
RNAcentral lists this ribosomal RNA (253 nucleotides) under uncultured bacterium. RNAcentral's name for it is "partial 16S ribosomal RNA". It matches the Rfam family "Bacterial small subunit ribosomal RNA", at positions 524 to 776 of the family's 1533-position model. The record is from RNAcentral.